CAUCAUCUUACCAUAGUUGUGUCUCAUGGUGAUUUACUCCAAGGAUUUAUCAGAUAAAGAACUGAAUUUAUGCUGUACAUGACAAUAGACAAAAAGGUGCAGUACAUUUUGUAAAGCAGAGUAAAUCCUAAUCUAGUGCAGUGGUGGUGCACAUUCUGCAAACAUAUCAGUCAUUUCAUGAGUUGACUUUGUUCACUUAAUAAAUAAACAGUUCAGAGUCCGGUCUAUUCAAGGGUGGAUGUGGAUUUACUGUAAACCACAUGACAAACUCUCACAAGGCGUUGACUGUCCAUAAAGCAGACGCCACUUGGUGCUUUCAGUUUCAUUCUGAGAGUGCAGCAAUGGAUCCAGCAGAGAUAAGAAGAAGAGAAGAAUUUCUGAAACGUCAACAAGAUUUCAAAGAGAAUGCCUUCAAGAUCAUCCACACCAUGCUGGACUGGUGUAACAUUACACCAAGAAGCAAGCAUUUGGUGGAUGAGAUUCUUCACAGCAUCUUCUUUCUGGGAAAAAUCAAUCAAGUGCCCUUUUCCCCAGAAGAAAUUAUCCCUGAUGAGCAGAUGUUGAGCGGCUUGAGGGAGAAAUAUCCCAGACCUUUUGAAUUCUAUCUGACACAGCUUCCCAGGCGGAGUCCAUUCUCCUGUGUGAUGGACAUGAUUGUCAUGCAGAAACAACCUGAGAAUGAAAACCAAAUAAUGCAGAGUCUGAGAGAUUUCAUCACCGCCCUGAAACCAGACUUUCUGGUCUCCUCCACCAUCUGCGUCUCCCAGAAAUCCAACAAUUCAGUCAGGCACUACGGAGUGUCCAUGUCCACUUCUGGUCGAGAUGCAAGGAGCAUAGUGAUUGGUGCCUCAUGCCUUAGUGCCUGGGAUGAGUAUGUAGCUGGUGCAGUGAUGACCUACUAUGUAAAGAACCCUAAUAAGAAAUACUUUGAUUUCACCAUCAAAAUACCUGACGAUGUCAGGUGUGAGGCUUUUAGCCUCAAAGAUGGAGGAAAAAUGAAGCCUUGCAGAUCAUGUGGUAACAUGUUUGGCUUGAACACAGAUGUGGCAAGGGAGUGGCCCUAUGGCAACUGUGCUGAAGUUGAGAGUUUGAGCAACUUACUGAAAAAUGAAAUAGAAGUUAAAGAGCAAUCACAACCAAAAUCUGACACAUGGACACCUCAGAACAUAAAGAGAGCCAGAGAAAAUGUUCUUAAGAAACUUAAGGAUAUCUUACACAAUAUCUCCUUCAAUACAUGGGAUGGUCAUUUCUAUGUCCCUCAAGCAGAAUAGUCUUGAAGAGGGCAGAUAAUGUCAUCUGUUAUCAUCCAUGAAAGUCCACUGUUACACCAUGUAAUCAUAGAAUUAACACAGCAUGAUUUAUCAUCUCCUCAUACUAACAGUCAAGAAUAUAUUAAUCUCAAUCAUCACUAGCUUGUCAAAAUUUUGAAUGCAGAACAUGUAAAAUAUGUGUAAAACAUGUUAACAAUAAAACCAAAGUGUCACCUGAAUCAAAGUCAGUGCUUUAUUUUGAGGCCUUAGUGCCUGUGUCACACAUGAUCAGAUUUGAAUAGGACAGUAAUUUCUAAACCCUACAAAAAAUUGAAUUAUUGGAUAUUGUAAUCUUAUGGGUAUCAUUCAUCUGGUUCUCGCGUUGUAGCAUAGUUAUUUAUCAGUAAAGAUCUGCAAGAACAUCUCCAUUACUAUUAUCAGGCAGCAAAGCUUUUUGUGGACUUCAUAAAAUCAGAACUUUCAGUACAUGAGGUUUUAUAAGUACAAACUUCUGAUGCUUCAAGUACUUGAGAUACAUCUGUGUGCGUACUGAGAACAGAGAUGUAAAUGCAUUCAU
This is a long non-coding RNA of Amphiprion ocellaris (clown anemonefish), 1827 nucleotides long. NCBI's taxonomy places the organism in Eukaryota, Metazoa, Chordata, Actinopteri, Pomacentridae. The record is from Ensembl.